UUCUUACGAAGGUAUGCUUAAAGAGGGGCUUGCGCCACAUUAGUUAGUUGGUAGAGUAAAAGCCUACCAAGACGAUGAUGUGUAGCUGGACUGAGAGGUUGAACAGCCACAUUGGGACUGAGACACGGCCCAAACUCCUACGGGAGGCAGCAGUAGGGAAUUUUCGGCAAUGGAGGAAACUCUGACCGAGCAACGCCGCGUGAACGAUGAAGUAUUUCGGUAUGUAAAGUUCUUUUAUUGAAGAAGAAAAAGUAGUGGAAAAACUAUAUUGACGUUAUUCAAUGAAUAAGCCCCGGCUAACUAUGUGCCAGCAGCCGCGGUAAGACAUAGGGGGCGAGCGUUAUCCGGAAUUAUUGGGCGUAAAGGGUGCGUAGGCUGUUAGAUAAGUCUAUAAUUUAAUUUCAGUGCUUAACGCUGUCUUGUUAUAGAAACUGUCUUGACUAGAGUGAGAUAGAGGCAAGCGGAAUUCCAUGUGUAGCGGUAAAAUGUGUAAAUAUAUGGAGGAACACCAGAAGCGUAGGCGGCUUGCUGGGUCUUUACUGACGCUGAGGCACGAAAGCGUGGGUAGCAAACAGGAUUAGAUACCCUGGUAGUCCACGCCGUAAACGAUGAGUACUAAGUGUCGGGGUAAAACUCGGUACUGAAGUUAACACAUUAAGUACUCCGCCUGAGUAGUACGUACGCAAGUAUGAAACUUAAAGGAAUUGACGGGACUCCGCACAAGCGGUGGAUCAUGUUGUUUAAUUCGAAGAUACACGAAAAAUCUUACCAGGUCUUGACAUACUCUGCAAAGCUAUAGAAAUAUAGUGGAGGUUAUCAGGGAUACAGGUGGUGCAUGGUUGUCGUCAGUUCGUGUCGUGAGAUGUUAGGUUAAGUCCUAAAACGAACGCAACCCUUGUCGUUAAUUGCCAGCACAUAAUGGUGGGGACUUUAACGAGACUGCCAAUUAAACAUUGGAGGAAGGUGAGGAUUACGUCAAAUCAUCAUGCCCCUUAUGAUCUGGGCUACAAACGUGAUACAAUGGCUGUGACAAAGAGUAGCUGAAACGCGAGUUUUUAGCCAAUCUCAAAAAAGCAG
This 1077-nucleotide ribosomal RNA is filed under the name Brinjal little leaf phytoplasma. RNAcentral's name for it is "bacterial SSU rRNA". It matches the Rfam family "Bacterial small subunit ribosomal RNA", at positions 195 to 1285 of the family's 1533-position model. The record is from RNAcentral. Lineage: Bacteria; Bacillati; Mycoplasmatota; Mollicutes; Acholeplasmatales; Acholeplasmataceae.